AACGCACAUUGCGCCCUCUGGUAUUCCGGGGGGCAUGCCUGUUCGAGCGUCAUUACAACCCUCAAGCUCUGCUUGGUGAUGGGCGACACCUGCGUGCGCCCCAAAAUCAGCGGCGGUGCUGCCCUGGCUUCCUGCGUAGUAACACCAUCUCGCUACGGAGCCGCGGCCGCGCCCGCCGAACACCACUUUAUCAAAGGUUGACCUCGGAUCAGGUAGGGAUACCCGCUGAACUUAA
RNAcentral lists this unclassified non-coding RNA (235 nucleotides) under Phaeosphaeria sp. RNAcentral's name for it is "partial contains 5.8S ribosomal RNA, internal transcribed spacer 2, and large subunit ribosomal RNA". The stretch from base 1 to 52 matches the Rfam family "5.8S ribosomal RNA", at positions 103 to 154 of the family's 154-position model. RNAcentral also lists the same sequence under 1 other name. Lineage: Eukaryota; Fungi; Ascomycota; Dothideomycetes; Pleosporales; Phaeosphaeriaceae. The record is from RNAcentral.